Molecule: ribosomal RNA, 540 nt
Filed under: uncultured Geobacteraceae bacterium
Lineage: Bacteria; Pseudomonadati; Thermodesulfobacteriota; Desulfuromonadia; Geobacterales; Geobacteraceae
Description: bacterial SSU rRNA
Rfam family: Bacterial small subunit ribosomal RNA
Source: RNAcentral
GAGUUUGAUCCUGGCUCAGAACGAACGCUGGCGGCGUGCCUAACACAUGCAAGUCGAACGUGAUCCAGAGCUUGCUCUGGUGAAAGUGGCGCACGGGUGAGUAACGCGUGGAUAACCUACCCUGGUAUCCGGGAUAACAUUCCGAAAGGGGUGCUAAUACCGGAUAAGCCCACGGGCUCUUUGGAGCUUGCGGGAAAAGGUGGCCUCUAUUUAUAAGCUACUGUAUCAGGAUGGGUCCGCGUACCAUUAGCUAGUUGGCGGUGUAACGGACCACCAAGGCGACGAUGGUUAGCUGGUCUGAGAGGAUGAUCAGCCACACUGGAACUGAGACACGGUCCAGACUCCUACGGGAGGCAGCAGUGGGGAAUUUUGCGCAAUGAGGGAAACCCUGACGCAGCAACGCCGCGUGAGUGAUGAAGGCCUUUGGGUCGUAAAGCUCUGUCAGAGGGGAAGAAAUGAUAUAGUGCUAAUACCACUUUAUCUUGACGGUACCCUCAAAGGAAGCACCGGCUAACUCCGUGCCAGCAGCCGCGGUAAUAC